AGAGUUUGAUCAUGGCUCAGGAUGUACGCUGGCGGCGUGCCUAAUACAUGCAAGUCGAGCGAACCACUUCGGUGGUGAGCGGCGAACGGGUGAGUAACACGUAGGUGAUCUGCCCAUCAGACGGGGACAACGAUUGGAAACGAUCGCUAAUACCGGAUAGGACGAAAGUUUAAAGGUGCUUCUGGCACCGCUGAUGGAUGAGCCUGCGGCGCAUUAGCUAGUUGGUAGGGUAAAGGCCUACCAAGGCGACGAUGCGUAGCCGACCUGAGAGGGUGAACGGCCACACUGGGACUGAGACACGGCCCAGACUCCUACGGGAGGCAGCAGUAGGGAAUCUUCGGCAAUGGGCGAAAGCCUGACCGAGCAACGCCGCGUGAAUGAUGAAGGCCUUCGGGUUGUAAAAUUCUGUUAUAAGGGAAGAACGACUUUAGUAGGAAAUGGCUAGAGUGUGACGGUACCUUAUGAGAAAGCCACGGCUAACUACGUGCCAGCAGCCGCGGUAAUACGUAGGUGGCGAGCGUUAUCCGGAAUUAUUGGGCGUAAAGAGCGCGCAGGUGGUUGAUUAAGUCUGAUGUGAAAGCCCACGGCUUAACCGUGGAGGGUCAUUGGAAACUGGUCGACUUGAGUGCAGAAGAGGGAAGUGGAAUUCCAUGUGUAGCGGUGAAAUGCGUAGAGAUAUGGAGGAACACCAGUGGCGAAGGCGGCUUCCUGGUCUGUAACUGACACUGAGGCGCGAAAGCGUGGGGAGCAAACAGGAUUAGAUACCCUGGUAGUCCACGCCGUAAACGAUGAGUGUCUAAGUGUUGGGGGUCGAACCUCAGUGCUGAAGUUCACGCAUUAAGCACUCCGCCUGGGGAGU
This 859-nucleotide ribosomal RNA is filed under the name uncultured bacterium. RNAcentral describes it as "bacterial SSU rRNA". It matches the Rfam family "Bacterial small subunit ribosomal RNA", at positions 8 to 881 of the family's 1533-position model. The record is from RNAcentral.